UCCUACAGGAGAAGUUAGUUGCUAGAUCAA
Molecule: non-coding RNA, 30 nt
Filed under: Rattus norvegicus (Norway rat)
Lineage: Eukaryota; Metazoa; Chordata; Mammalia; Rodentia; Muridae
Source: RNAcentral